UGGGGAAUAUUGCACAAUGGGCGCAAGCCUGAUGCAGCAACGCCGCGUGAACGAUGAAGGUCUUCGGAUCGUAAAGUUCUGUUGCAGGGGAAGAUAAUGACGGUACCCUGUGAGGAAGCCCCGGCUAAUUACGUGCCAGCAGCCGCGGUAAUACGUAGGGGGCUAGCGUUAUCCGGAUUUACUGGGCGUAAAGGGUGCGUAGGUGGUCUUUCAAGUCGGUGGUUAAAGGCUACGGCUCAACCGUAGUUAGCCUCCGAAACUGGAAGACUUGAGUGCAGGAGAGGAAAGUGGAAUUCCCAGUGUAGCGGUGAAAUGCGUAGAUAUUGGGAGGAACACCAGUAGCGAAGGCGGCUUUCUGGACUGCAACUGACACUGAGGCACGAAAGCGUGGGUAGCAAACAGG
RNAcentral lists this ribosomal RNA (403 nucleotides) under Verrucomicrobiota bacterium. RNAcentral describes it as "Verrucomicrobia bacterium partial 16S ribosomal RNA". It matches the Rfam family "Bacterial small subunit ribosomal RNA", at positions 355 to 776 of the family's 1533-position model. The record is from RNAcentral. Lineage: Bacteria; Pseudomonadati; Verrucomicrobiota.